GUACAGGUGGCCGAGUGGUUAAAGGCAUCAGACUGUAAAUCUGACGACAUUGUCUACGCUGGUUCAAAUCCAGCCCUGUGCA
Molecule: transfer RNA, 82 nt
Filed under: Caudoviricetes sp.
Lineage: Duplodnaviria; Heunggongvirae; Uroviricota; Caudoviricetes
Description: tRNA-Tyr
Rfam family: tRNA
About the family: Transfer RNA (tRNA) molecules are approximately 80 nucleotides in length.
Source: RNAcentral